This 19-nucleotide small nuclear RNA is filed under the name Arabidopsis thaliana (thale cress). Its description in RNAcentral is "snRNA_00236". The record is from RNAcentral. Lineage: Eukaryota; Viridiplantae; Streptophyta; Magnoliopsida; Brassicales; Brassicaceae.
UUAGUUUCUUCUUCUUCUU